RNAcentral lists this ribosomal RNA (332 nucleotides) under uncultured bacterium. Its description in RNAcentral is "bacterial SSU rRNA". It matches the Rfam family "Bacterial small subunit ribosomal RNA", at positions 568 to 898 of the family's 1533-position model. The record is from RNAcentral.
CGCGUAGGCGGCUUGGUAAGGGGGCGGUGAAAGCCCGGGGCUCAACCCCGGGUCGGCCGGACCGACUGCCGAGCUUGAGCACACUAGGGGCAGGUGGAAUUCCGGGUGUAGCGGUGGAAUGCGUAGAGAUCCGGAGGAACACCGGUGGCGAAGGCGGCCUGCUGGGGUGUGGCUGACGCUGAGGCGCGACAGCGUGGGGAGCAAACAGGAUUAGAUACCCUGGUAGUCCACGCCGUAAACGAUGGGCACUAGGUGCUCGGGGGAGCGACCCCUUGGGUGCCGGCGCUAACGCAUUAAGUGCCCCGCCUGGGGAGUACGGCCGCAAGGCUGAA